Prosopis cineraria is the source of this 1791-nucleotide RNA transcript. RefSeq lists it as uncharacterized. Lineage: Eukaryota; Viridiplantae; Streptophyta; Magnoliopsida; Fabales; Fabaceae. The transcript is spliced from 3 exons. The record is from RefSeq and is a predicted model, not a curated record.
UAUUAUUAUUAUUAUUUUUUAAGUCAUCAUAAAGCUGAUCGAACCCUACCAUUCCAUUCCAUCAGAUUUUCGAGACUAUCAAUUUCUACUUCUCCCUUCUCGCAACCUUCGACGAUUGCCCUUCGGCAUCACGACUGUCUAUUUAGGAUCGACCAGUCCAAAGUCAUUCGCUGUCAUCACGAAGCUUAGUUGUCGGCGAUCGCAUCAAUUUGUCUGCGAAGCUGCUGCGUCAAAUUGUCUGCAUCUAACUGCAGAUCUGUGUAGAUCUGAGCUGCUGCAAAGUCACCGUUGCUAAGCUACUAUUCUGCACCGUUCCUUCUUCUCUCUACCUCUUUUGUGUCAGGACUUUGGUAAGUGUCGUUCUUCAUUUUUUUUAAUUAAUAUUAGUUUGCCAUCGAUUUCCGCUGUGGUGCCGUGGGUUUGCGCCGUUCUUGCCAUCGAUCUCCUGCUCUUAUGGUUUGUUGCUAUCGCGUCUUCCUCCCCUUCCAGUUCCUAUUUAUUGCGUCUCUUCAACAAGGUAUUUUUUUAAUGUAUAUGUAUAUAUUGAUGUUACAGUGAUUAUGAAGCAUGAUUAAGCUAUAAUGAUAGAAUAAUUAAUUAUAUUUUGAUGUUUCUGAGAUUGUCUACACAUCAUGAGCUAUAUUUUAAUAUAUUAUAUUUAAUGACAGGUACCAAAAUGUUGAAAUAUGGAAGAAGAGGAUGGUGGAUUGAGAGGCAGGGGAGGGAUGAGUGUUUGUCCAAGUAUCUCUUUUUCUUCAGAAAUUGGAUUUUGUCCAUAAUACAUGAGGAUUCAAGCUUUAAUCGAACAUUAAUUACUUUUUACUGUUAUUAUUUUGUUCUUUAAUUCCCCCUGUCUACUAUACUGUUAUUUAUUUUUUUUUUUUGAAAACUCCCUCAUAUCACAGCCUUUGCGCCAUUUGGAGGAGCUGCUGGAAGAACUUGUAGCUAUCUUUGUAAGGAUGAGAGGGAGAGUAAGGAUAGUAAUUUAAAAAAAAUAUUAUAUUCAUCAAAUGCUUGGACUUCUAAUUUGGUUUGUGACUGUGUAGAUAACAAGAUAACUUACGUUACAAUUUAGGAUUUUUGAAAGCAACUUCAAUGGCAGUAGAAUUGCAAAGUGGCUGAAAGCGUCCCUGAUGUCUUUUCCUCUUUCUAAUGUAAAUUUUAUAAUUUUAAAACAAGUUUUAUUAUAAUUUGAGCAAACAUAUGGUCUCACGUGUCCCACAAUUUCUAUAAUAAUUUGAGCUAACAUAUGGUCCCAUGUGCUCUAUAUGAUUACACCUAUGCUGCAGAGUUUUCUAGAAAUAGUAAAAUCUCCUACUGCAGGGUUAUAUUAAAAUUGUCCCAGUUUAUGUUCCUCAAUGGGAACAAGUUUGAGUUUGAUUUAACAUUUUCUAUAAAGGUGAAGCAAAUGAUAAUAGCUACACUUGCUGAAUCUGGUAUGAACUCAUCAGAUGAUGUUAUUGAAAGUAUAAUUGACAAGUUGUGCAGAUUGUGAACUGUAGCAGGAUGACAUGUAGGGCAUGCAAAUUGAAGUUGUGUGAUUGGCUUGCGAAAAGAUUUUAAGGAUGAACUUGAGAACAAUCGGCUGGUUACCAUCACUUCAAGCAAAUUAUUUAUCUAAUCAAGUGUGGCUCUGUAUGGUAUUAGAGAAACUAAGGAUUCACUGAUGCUUACUGUUGACAUUUUUGUUAACUAUGACUGUGAUCUUGAGGCACCAAACUUGUUUGAAAUAUUUUGAAUCUCUUGAACUAUCUUGAGUUACAAUUUUAAUAUAUAUGCUGCUUACAUCUC